GAUGAACGCUGGCGGCGUGCCUAAUACAUGCAAGUCGAGCGAACGGACGAGAAGCUUGCUUCUCUGAUGUUAGCGGCGGACGGGUGAGUAACACGUGGAUAACCUACCUAUAAGACUGGGAUAACUUCGGGAAACCGGAGCUAAUACCGGAUGAUAUUUUGAACCGCAUGGUUCAAAAGUGAAAGACGGUCUUGCUGUCACUUAUAGAUGGAUCCGCGCUGCAUUAGCUAGUUGGUAAGGUAACGGCUUACCAAGGCAACGAUGCAUAGCCGACCUGAGAGGGUGAUGGGCAACACGGAAACUGAGAAACGGCCCAGAUUCCAAGGGGAGGAAGCGGUGGGAAAUCUUCGGCAAGGGGGGAAAGCCUGACGGGGAAAGGCCGCGUGAGUGAUGAAGGUCUUCGGAUGGUAAAACUCUGUAAUUGGGGAAGAAAAUAUGUGUAAGUAACAGGGAAGAUCUUAACGGUACCAAACAAGAAGGCCACGGCUAACUACGU
RNAcentral lists this ribosomal RNA (496 nucleotides) under uncultured bacterium. RNAcentral's name for it is "partial 16S ribosomal RNA". It matches the Rfam family "Bacterial small subunit ribosomal RNA", at positions 28 to 506 of the family's 1533-position model. The record is from RNAcentral.